Molecule: ribosomal RNA, 292 nt
Filed under: uncultured bacterium
Lineage: Bacteria
Description: partial 16S ribosomal RNA
Source: RNAcentral
GGACUACCGGGGUAUCUAAUCCUGUUCGCUCCCCACGCUUUCGCUCCUCAGCGUCAAUAUCGGCCCAGAGACCCGCCUUCGCCACCGGUGUUCCUCCUGAUAUCUGCGCAUUUCACCGCUACACCAGGAAUUCCAGUCUCCCCUACCGAAUUCUAGCUUGCCCGUAUCGGCUGCAGGCCCGGGGUUGAGCCCCAGGUUUUCACAGCCGACGCGACAAGCCGCCUACGAGCUCUUUACGCCCAAUAAUUCCGGACAACGCUUGCACCCUACGUAUUACCGCGGCUGCUGGCAC